RNAcentral lists this ribosomal RNA (406 nucleotides) under uncultured bacterium. RNAcentral describes it as "partial 16S ribosomal RNA". It matches the Rfam family "Bacterial small subunit ribosomal RNA", at positions 30 to 526 of the family's 1533-position model. The record is from RNAcentral.
AUUGAACGCUGGCGGCAGGCCUAACACAUGCAAGUCGAACGAGUGGCGGACGGGUGAGUAAUGUCUGGGAAACUGCCCGAUGGAGGGGGAUAACUACUGGAAACGGUAGCUAAUACCGCAUACCAUCGGAUGUGCCCAGAUGGGAUUAGCUUGUAGGUGAGGUAACGUCUCACCUAGGCGACGAUCCCUAGCUGGUCUGAGAGGAUGAUCAGCUACACUGUGACGGAGAAACGGCCCAGAUUCCUACGGGAGGAAGCAGUGGGGAAUCUUGCCCAAUGGGCGCAAGCCUGAUGCAGCAAUGCCGCGUGUAUGAAGAAGGCCUUCGGGUUGUAAAGUACUUUCAGCGGGGAGGCGUUACCCACCGAGGAAGCACCGGCUAACUCCGUGCCAGCAGCCGCGGUAAUUC